AGUUGCCAGCAUUCAGUUGGGCACUCUAAAGGGACUGCCGGUGGUCGAAACCGGAGGAAGGUGGGGAUGACGUCAAGUCCUCAUGGCCUUUAUGUCUAGGGCUACACACGUACUACAAUGGCAGGUACAAAGGGCAGCGACACAGCGAUGUGAUGCGAAUCCCGAAAAGCCUGUCUCAGUCCGGAUCGGAGUCUGCAACUCGACUCCGUGAAGUUGGAAUCGCUAGUAAUCGCGGAUCAGCAUGCCGCGGUGAAUACGUUCCCGGGCCUU
This 270-nucleotide ribosomal RNA is filed under the name uncultured Desulfocapsa sp. RNAcentral describes it as "partial 16S ribosomal RNA". It matches the Rfam family "Bacterial small subunit ribosomal RNA", at positions 1113 to 1382 of the family's 1533-position model. Lineage: Bacteria; Pseudomonadati; Thermodesulfobacteriota; Desulfobulbia; Desulfobulbales; Desulfocapsaceae. The record is from RNAcentral.